CCUAGUAACGGCGAGUGAAGCGGGAAGAGCUCAAAUUUGUAAUCUGGCACUUUCAGUGUCCGAGUUGUAAUCUCGAGAAGUAUUUUCCGCGCCGGACUGCAUACAAGUCUGUUGGAAUACAGCGUCAUAGUGGUGAGAACCCCGUAACUGAUGCAGAUGCCCGGUGCUUUGUGAUAUACUUUCGAAGAGUCGAGUUGUUUGGGAAUGCAGCUCAAAUUGGGUGGUAAAUUCCAUCUAAAGCUAAAUAUUGGAGCAAGACCGAUAGCGAACAAGUACCGUGAGGGAAAGAUGAAAAGCACUUUGGAAAGAGAGUUAACAGUACGUGAAAUUGUUGGAAGGGAAACGCUUGAAGUCAGACUUGCUAUUCGGAGUUCAGCCGCAAGGUGUAUUCUUCGAUUUGCAGGCCAGCAUCAGUUUUCGGGGGUGGAAAAUCGUGGUUUGAAGGUAGCAACUUCGGUUGUGUUAUAGCUUUCCACUGGAUUCAUCUUUGGGGACUGAGGAACGCAGUACGCUUUUUGCAAGGCCCUCGGGCUUUUCGUACUUACGAUGCUGGUGGAAUGGCUUUAAACGACCGUCU
This 577-nucleotide ribosomal RNA is filed under the name Basidiomycota sp. 4 HFP-2013. Its description in RNAcentral is "eukaryotic LSU rRNA". It matches the Rfam family "Eukaryotic large subunit ribosomal RNA", at positions 79 to 654 of the family's 3401-position model. Lineage: Eukaryota; Fungi; Basidiomycota. The record is from RNAcentral.